GGGGCGCGCCCCGGGCGGGGCGGGGGCACGGGGGGAACGCGAAGAACCUUACCUGGUCUUGACAUCCACGGAAGUUUUCAGAGAUGGGUUGGUGCCUUCGGGAACUGUGAGACAGGUGCUGCAUGGCUGUCGUCAGCUCGUGUUGUGAAAUGUUGGGUUAAGUCCCGCAACGAGCGCAACCCUUAUCCUUUGUUGCCAGCGGUCCGGCCGGGAACUCAAAGGAGACUGCCAGUGAUAAACUGGAGGAAGGUGGGGAUGACGUCAAGUCAUCAUGGCCCUUACGACCAGGGCUACACACGUGCUACAAUGGCGCAUACAAAGAGAAGCGACCUCGCGAGAGCAAGCGGACCUCAUAAAGUGCGUCGUAGUCCGGAUUGGAGUCUGCAACUCGACUCCAUGAAGUCGGAAUCGCUAGUAAUCGUGGAUCAGAAAG
This 433-nucleotide ribosomal RNA is filed under the name uncultured bacterium. RNAcentral describes it as "bacterial SSU rRNA". It matches the Rfam family "Bacterial small subunit ribosomal RNA", at positions 929 to 1356 of the family's 1533-position model. The record is from RNAcentral.